This 359-nucleotide ribosomal RNA is filed under the name Ptenopsila sp. KY243. RNAcentral's name for it is "partial 12S rRNA". Lineage: Eukaryota; Metazoa; Arthropoda; Insecta; Psocodea; Dasydemellidae. The record is from RNAcentral.
CCCUAUUAUAAAUAAUAUAAUAUUUAGCCUAAGGUAGUAAAUGUUAUAAUCAGGAAACUUAAAGAAUUUGGCGGUAUUUAUUCUUACCAGAGGAAUAUGGUUUUUAAUUGAUUCUCCACAACUAUCUUACUUAAAUUUAUUUUUGUAUACCUCCGUCUAAAAAAAUUCUUUUAAAAUAAAUUUUAAUUUCUUUAAGGAAAUAAGUCAGGUCAAGGUGCAGAUUAUAUUUAAGUUAAAAUGUAUUACAAUAAAUUUAUUUUUAGAUUUAAUAUUAAAAAUUUAAUUAAAAUGGAUUUGGUAGUAAACUUAUUUUUACAAUAAUAAGUUGAAUUGUGUUAAUAAAUAUGCACACAUCGCCC